CGGGCGGUAGCGCAGCCUGGUCAGCGCGCGUGCCUUGGGAGCACGAGGUCGCGGGUUCAAAUCCCGCCCGCCCGA
RNAcentral lists this transfer RNA (75 nucleotides) under Planctomycetota bacterium. Its description in RNAcentral is "Planctomycetes bacterium tRNA-Pro". It matches the Rfam family "tRNA". Rfam says of the family: Transfer RNA (tRNA) molecules are approximately 80 nucleotides in length. Their secondary structure includes four short double-helical elements and three loops (D, anti-codon, and T loops). Further hydrogen bonds mediate the characteristic L-shaped molecular structure. tRNAs have two regions of fundamental functional importance: the anti-codon, which is responsible for specific mRNA codon recognition, and the 3' end, to which the tRNAs corresponding amino acid is attached (by aminoacyl-tRNA synthetases). tRNAs cope with the degeneracy of the genetic code in two manners: having more than one tRNA (with a specific anti-codon) for a particular amino acid; and 'wobble' base-pairing, i.e. permitting non-standard base-pairing at the 3rd anti-codon position. The record is from RNAcentral. Lineage: Bacteria; Pseudomonadati; Planctomycetota.